This 403-nucleotide ribosomal RNA is filed under the name uncultured bacterium. Its description in RNAcentral is "bacterial SSU rRNA". It matches the Rfam family "Bacterial small subunit ribosomal RNA", at positions 355 to 775 of the family's 1533-position model. The record is from RNAcentral.
UGGGGAAUAUUGCACAAUGGGGGAAACCCUGAUGCAGCAACGCCGCGUGAGUGAAGAAGUAUUUCGGUAUGUAAAGCUCUAUCAGCAGGGAAGAAAAUGACGGUACCUGACUAAGAAGCCCCGGCUAACUACGUGCCAGCAGCCGCGGUAAUACGUAGGGGGCAAGCGUUAUCCGGAUUUACUGGGUGUAAAGGGAGCGUAGACGGCGAAGCAAGUCUGAAGUGAAAGCCCGGGGCUUAACCCCGGGACUGCUUUGGAAACUGUUUUGCUAGAGUGCUGGAGAGGUAAGUGGAAUUCCUAGUGUAGCGGUGAAAUGCGUAGAUAUUAGGAGGAACACCAGUGGCGAAGGCGGCUUACUGGACAGUAACUGACGUUGAGGCUCGAAAGCGUGGGGAGCAAACAG